This 73-nucleotide transfer RNA is filed under the name Myotis brandtii (Brandt's bat). It matches the Rfam family "tRNA". Rfam says of the family: Transfer RNA (tRNA) molecules are approximately 80 nucleotides in length. Their secondary structure includes four short double-helical elements and three loops (D, anti-codon, and T loops). Lineage: Eukaryota; Metazoa; Chordata; Mammalia; Chiroptera; Vespertilionidae. The record is from Rfam by way of RNAcentral.
GCCAGUGUGGCUCAGUGGAUAGAGCGUCGGCCUGUGGACUGAAGGGUCCCGGGUUCGAAUCCAGACAAGGGCA